GGGUGAUUAGCUCAGCUGGGAGAGCACCUCCCUUACAAGGAGGGGGUCGGCGGUUCGAUCCCGUCAUCACC
RNAcentral lists this transfer RNA (71 nucleotides) under Escherichia coli. RNAcentral describes it as "tRNA-Val". It matches the Rfam family "tRNA". From Rfam's summary of the family: Transfer RNA (tRNA) molecules are approximately 80 nucleotides in length. Their secondary structure includes four short double-helical elements and three loops (D, anti-codon, and T loops). The record is from RNAcentral. RNAcentral also lists the same sequence under 9 other names. Lineage: Bacteria; Pseudomonadati; Pseudomonadota; Gammaproteobacteria; Enterobacterales; Enterobacteriaceae.